RNA transcript from Cebus imitator (Panamanian white-faced capuchin), 465 nucleotides. It is a transcript of the gene named 40S ribosomal protein S19-like, with no coding region annotated. The transcript has a single exon. Lineage: Eukaryota; Metazoa; Chordata; Mammalia; Primates; Cebidae. The record is from RefSeq and is a predicted model, not a curated record.
CGCGGAGGCUGCACAAUGCCUGGAGUUACUGUAAAAGACAUGAACCAGCAGGAGUUUGUCAGAGCUCUGGCAGCCUUUCUAAAAAGGCCGGGAAGCUGAAAGUCCCUGAAUGGGUGGACACCGUCAAGCUGGCUAAGCACAAAGAGCUUGCUCCCUACAGUGAGAACUGGUUCUACACGCGAGCUGCUUCCACAGCGCAGCACCUAUACCUCCGGGGUGGUGCUGGGGUUGGCUCCAUGACCAAGAUCUAUGGGGGACAUCAGAGAAAUGGCGUCAUGCCCAGCCACUUCAGCCAAGGCUCCAAGAGUGUGGCCCACCGGGUCCUCCAAGCCCUGGAGGGGCUGCGAAUGGUGGAAAAGGACCAAGAUGGGGGCUACAAACUGACACCUCAGGGACAGAGAGAUCUGGACAGAAUCGCCGGACAGGUGGCAGCUGCCAACAAGAAGCAUUAGAACAAAUCAUCCU